UACGGGGGGGGCAAGCGUUGUUCGGAAUUACUGGGCGUAAAGCGUGCGCAGGCGGUUUUGUAAGCCAGAUGUGAAAUCCCCGGGCUCAACCUGGGAAUGGCAUUUGGGACUGCAAGGCUCGAGUGCGGCAGAGGAGACUGGAAUUCCUGGUGUAGCAGUGAAAUGCGUAGAUAUCAGGAGGAACACCGAUGGCGAAGGCAGGUCUCUGGGCUGACACUGACGCUCAUGCACGAAAGCGUGGGGAGCAAACAGG
Molecule: ribosomal RNA, 253 nt
Filed under: uncultured bacterium
Lineage: Bacteria
Description: partial 16S ribosomal RNA
Rfam family: Bacterial small subunit ribosomal RNA
Source: RNAcentral